Molecule: ribosomal RNA, 426 nt
Filed under: uncultured bacterium
Lineage: Bacteria
Description: bacterial SSU rRNA
Rfam family: Bacterial small subunit ribosomal RNA
Source: RNAcentral
GUGAGGAAUUUUCCGCAAUGGGCGAAAGCCUGACGGAGCAAUGCCGCGUGAAGGAUGAAGGCCUAUGGGUUGUAAACUUCUUUUCUCAGAAAAGAAUUAUGACGGUAUCUGAGGAAUAAGCAUCGGCUAACUCUGUGCCAGCAGCCGCGGUACGACAGAGGAUGCAAGCGUUAUCCGGAAUGAUUGGGCGUAAAGCGUCUGUAGGUUGUUUAAAAAGUAUUCUGUCAAAGAUUAGGGCUUAACCCUAGAUAGGCAGAAUAAACUUUUAAGCUAGAGGUUGGUAGAGGCAGAGGGAAUUCCCGGUGGAGCGGUGAAAUGCGUAGAUAUCGGGAGGAACACCAAAGGCGAAGGCACUCUGCUGGGCCAAUACUAACACUGAGAGACGAAAGCGAGGGGAGCAAAUGGGAUUAGAAACCCUUGUAGUCC